This is a long non-coding RNA of Rhinolophus ferrumequinum (greater horseshoe bat), 1180 nucleotides long. RefSeq lists it as uncharacterized. NCBI's taxonomy places the organism in Eukaryota, Metazoa, Chordata, Mammalia, Chiroptera, Rhinolophidae. The transcript is spliced from 3 exons. The record is from RefSeq and is a predicted model, not a curated record.
CUCCCCUGGUUCUCAGAUCUGGAACUACACCACCAGCUUUCCUGGGCCGGCUUGCAGACAGAAGAUCCUGGGACUUCUCAGCCUCCAUAAUUGUAACCUCCAAUACAAAAUUGACUCAUUGUUUCAGUCCUGAUAGAAUGAUUCCAAAGUUUCUGAGGAAGUACAAUAUCUGCUAAAAAGUUACUAACAGCUGGUAAGCGCCCUGUGAAGACCACCCAUCCUGUGCAAACACAUCUGACACUCCGGGUCUCGUCUCCACAGCCCCUGGCACCCAGCAGGGAACCUAGUCAGGGCCAGAAAGAAUGUCUUAUGCUGGAUUCUGGGGAGGCUCUCCCAGACGGGGGUUGCUUCUUUCUGGAUGUGGACAUGUGUCCGGACACUUCUGCGCUCCAAGAACCCCGGAGUUUCCACUCCAGCCUUGGGCAGACACUUGGUUUGGUUUUCCUCCCAUGCUACGACUGUCAUUGAUGACAUACUCAGGAAAUGGAGAUUGCAACGGUUGCAUCAGCAGGCUCCACAUGACAGACUGAGGAAGCUUCUAAACAGAACUAUUUACUUGUUAUAAAAUAAAAUAUGUGAGAUCCAAGUUUCCCAUCAAUCCUAUCACCAGAGGUAAACACCAUUAACUAUUUGGGGUGUGUAUGUCAGGCACGCACAUACUACACAUAACGACAUGUAUUUCUAUACUUGUGUUCUGUGCUUUUCAAACAUAUGCACAUGUUUGAAUAAUGUGAGUCCAAUAUAAAUAUUGUUUAUUUUUUUCAACAGCCAUAUAAUCCUCCACCAUAUGGCCAUGCUAUAAUCAUCCUUUCCCUUAUUAAUAUAUAUUUUUAGGUUGUUUCCUUCUACCUUGAAUUAACAUAUAUUUAGAACAGAUUUCUAGAAAUCAGUUGUUGAAGUAUAAGGUAAGCAUAUGUAUUUUUCAUUUUGCUUAAUUUUAAGAGAUACUUGCAAUUAGUCCUUCGUCCCUGAAUUUAGAGUCUGGUCUAUGAACUGUGAUUUACUGGUCCAUAAUGAGUAAGUGUUUAGAAAUGUUCAUCAUAAUUUGAUAUGCCCAUGAUAUCCAAACAUAUGGUUUUAUAUUUUAUAAAAGUAUUGGACUAAAAAACUUUGUUAUUUAAAAAUAGUAACAAUAAUAAUAAUAAUGUUAAAACAAAAAGAAUAUGGAAAGACUCCAUUU